This 253-nucleotide ribosomal RNA is filed under the name uncultured bacterium. Its description in RNAcentral is "partial 16S ribosomal RNA". It matches the Rfam family "Bacterial small subunit ribosomal RNA", at positions 524 to 776 of the family's 1533-position model. The record is from RNAcentral.
UACGAAGGGGGCUAGCGUUGUUCGGAAUUACUGGGCGUGAAGCGCGCGCAGGCGGUCUCUCAAGUCAGUGGUGAAAUCCCGGAGCUCAACUCCGGAACUGCCAUUGAAACUGUUAGACUUGAGUACGAGAGAGGUGAGUGGAAUUCCCAGUGUAGAGGUGAAAGUCGUAGAUAUUGGGAAGAACACCAGUGGCGAAGGCGGCUCACGGGCUCGUUUCUGACGCGCAGGCGCGAUAGCGUGGGGAUCAAACAGG